RNAcentral lists this unclassified non-coding RNA (361 nucleotides) under soil metagenome. RNAcentral's name for it is "partial contains 5.8S ribosomal RNA, internal transcribed spacer 2, and large subunit ribosomal RNA". The stretch from base 1 to 120 matches the Rfam family "5.8S ribosomal RNA", at positions 35 to 154 of the family's 154-position model. The record is from RNAcentral.
GAUGAAGAACGUAGUGAAAUGCGAUAAGUAGUGUGAAUUGCAGAAUUCAGUGAAUCAUCGAAUCUUUGAACGCACAUUGCGCCCAUUGGUAUUCCAUUGGGCAUGCCUGUUCGAGCGUCAUCUAAAUCUUCAAGCAUUGCUUGGUGUUGGGCGUAUUUGUCUAUCGGCACUCCCUCCGGCCCCAUGGCCAAUGCCAAAGACUCGCCUUGAAGCCAUUCGGCGGUGGAUAUGUCGGCUCCGAGCGCAGCAGAGUACGCGCCCGCGGCCCGGCGAGUCCGCUCCCAGAAGCCCCCCACCCACAGUUUGACCUCGGAUCAGGUAGGGAUACCCGCUGAACUUAAGCAUAUCAAUAAGCGGAGGA